Molecule: long non-coding RNA, 395 nt
Filed under: Piliocolobus tephrosceles (Ugandan red Colobus)
Lineage: Eukaryota; Metazoa; Chordata; Mammalia; Primates; Cercopithecidae
Description: lncRNA (ENSPTEG00000005241.1)
Source: RNAcentral
AUGUGUCUGUCUGCUAUGUUUGAGAAUAAUAGUGAUAGUGGUAAAACAUAUGGUAAUUUGUUGUGUUUGUUUUUUCCAUUACGUUUGCCACUACUUUUGUCACUACUUUUGCCACUACGUUUGCCACUACUUUUACCACUACUUUUGCCAUUACGUUUGCCACUACUUUUUCCACUACUUUUUCCAUUAUUUUUUCCAUUAUUUUUUCCAUUAUUUUUUCCAUUAUUUUUUCCAUUUUUUUUUCCAUUAUUUUUUCCAUUUUUUAUUUCCAUAUUUGUAUUACCUACUACAAUGUUAGUUAAAUUAUUGUUACAUAACAUAACUUUAUUAUUCAUAAAAUCCAUGUAAUUAUAAAAAUUUUUGUUUAAAAAUAAUAAAAAAGAUUUAUAAGUACA